Molecule: ribosomal RNA, 391 nt
Filed under: uncultured bacterium
Lineage: Bacteria
Description: bacterial SSU rRNA
Rfam family: Bacterial small subunit ribosomal RNA
Source: RNAcentral
AUUGAACGCUGGCGGCAUGCCUUACACAUGCAAGUCGAACGGCAGCACGGGAGCAAUCCUGGUGGCGAGUGGCGAACGGGUGAGUAAUAUAUCGGAACGUGCCCAGUGAUGGGGGAUAGCCCGGCGAAAGCCGGAUUAAUACCGCAUACGACCUACGGGUGAAAGCAGGGGAUCGCAAGACCUUGCGUCAUUGGAGCGGCCGAUAUCAGAUUAGCUUGNGGUGGGGUAAAAGCCUACCAAGGCGACGAUCUGUAGCUGGUCUGAGAGGACGACCAGCCACACUGGGACUGAGACACGGCCCAGACUCCUACGGAGGCAGCAGUGGGGAAUUUUGGGCAAUGGGCGAAAGCCUGACCCAGCAACGCCGCGUGAAGGAUGAAGUCUUUCGGGA